AGAAGAUGUAGCCCUAGAUGGGGAAAAACCGAGCCGAGAGAGCCAAUUUUGGCUGGGUCUUGCCAGGUCUUGCCAGGUCUUCCCGGAGAGGGUGCGCAUGCGUAAAUCGAACACCUCCUCUAAAUCUAACGCCCUGCUCAGUUCUAGAGGGGACAGCGCCCUCUGUCCUCCUGGCCGUUUUCCUGAACUCCUAACCUCAGUCAAUACUGCCUCGGGACCUGGCGCUGCCUGGGAGAUCCAGAAGAAAGGAAGCAUCUUGGCCCCUGCCUUGGGGGCGACACGACCGUCCCCAAACACAGCGAGUCACUGGCCUGGGUCUUUGUGCAGAGGCCCCUCUAGGAGCGGGGAACCAACGAUGGCACGAACAUUGAUUUGAGGAGGAUGCUUCGCAGUUUACGAAAAAAUGAGUGCUAGAGGCGUUCAGAAACGGGAAAGAUCACUUUGUGCUCCUGUGAUCUGAAGGCUGCGUGAAGAAGAUGAGGCUUGGAAAAUAGGACUUACCACAUUACAGGACAGACCACAGUGCAUGUCUGUCUGCUCCAACAGAAGUGGCUUUCUUGAGGGAAGGAAUUCUGCCUUGUUCAACUUUAUAUUCCCCCACAGUGCCUUGCAGAAAGUAGGAGCCCAGAAAAUGUGUACUGAAUUGCUCAGAAUUGUGUGGUGAGGUAGAAAGUAUUGCUUAAUCUCUCCGAGACCUCAAUUUCCUUAUUUGUAAAUUAAACUGCUGAUUAAUUUCUAAAGUUCUUUUGAGUUACAGAAUUCUGUUACCCAACAAGGUUUCAGAGAUUGAGAAGAUUGAAUUAUUUGAUUUCUAAAUUCUUUUUCAACUUCAAUAUUAAAUGAUUUUAUAAUACCGA
This 857-nucleotide long non-coding RNA is filed under the name Homo sapiens (human). Its description in RNAcentral is "MIR9-1 host gene". Lineage: Eukaryota; Metazoa; Chordata; Mammalia; Primates; Hominidae. The record is from RNAcentral.